Molecule: ribosomal RNA, 378 nt
Filed under: uncultured Chytriomycetaceae
Lineage: Eukaryota; Fungi; Chytridiomycota; Chytridiomycetes; Chytridiales; Chytriomycetaceae
Description: SSU rRNA
Rfam family: Eukaryotic small subunit ribosomal RNA
Source: RNAcentral
AGCUCCAAUAGCGUAUAUUAAAGUUGUUGCAGUUAAAUAGCUCGUAGUUGAAUUUUGGGCCGAGCUUGGUGGUCAGGCCGAUGGUCUGUACUGCCAGUUCGGUCUUUCCUUCUGGGGAACGCGUGUGCCCUUCACUGGGUGUGCGCGGGAUCCAGGACUUUUACUUUGAAAAAAUUAGAGUGUUUAAAGCGGGCAUUUGCAUGAAUACAUUAGCAUGGAAUAAUAGAAUAGGACUUUGGUUCUAUUUUGUUGGUUUCUAGGACCGAAGUAAUGAUUAAUAGGGAUAGUUGGGGGCAUUAGUAUUUAAUUGUCAGAGGUGAAAUUCUUGGAUUUAUGAAAGACUAACUUCUGCGAAAGCAUUUGCCAAGGAUGUUUUCA